GUGGGGAAUCUUAGACAAUGGGGGAAACCCUGAUCUAGCCAUGCCGCGUGAGCGAUGAAGGCCUUAGGGUUGUAAAGCUCUUUCAGCUGGGAAGAUAAUGACGGUACCAGCAGAAGAAGCCCCGGCUAACUCCGUGCCAGCAGCCGCGGUAAUACGGAGGGGGCUAGCGUUGUUCGGAAUUACUGGGCGUAAAGCGCGCGUAGGCGGACCAGAAAGUUGGAGGUGAAAUCCCAGGGCUCAACCUUGGAACUGCCUUCAAAACUCCUGGUCUGGAGUUCGAGAGAGGUGAGUGGAAUUCCGAGUGUAGAGGUGAAAUUCGUAGAUAUUCGGAGGAACACCAGUGGCGAAGGUGGCUCACUGGCUCGAUACUGACGCUGAGGUGCGAAAGCGUGGGGAGCAAACAGGAUUAGAAACCCUAGUAGUCC
RNAcentral lists this ribosomal RNA (425 nucleotides) under uncultured bacterium. Its description in RNAcentral is "partial 16S ribosomal RNA". It matches the Rfam family "Bacterial small subunit ribosomal RNA", at positions 354 to 796 of the family's 1533-position model. The record is from RNAcentral.